Molecule: long non-coding RNA, 5907 nt
Organism: Loxodonta africana (African savanna elephant)
Lineage: Eukaryota; Metazoa; Chordata; Mammalia; Proboscidea; Elephantidae
Exons: 2
Source: RefSeq, a predicted model, not a curated record
UUUUUUUUUUUUUUUUACGGGAUAGCUUCCACCACCUGUCAGUUUGUCGUACUGUGGUGGCUUACGUGUUGCUAUAAUGCUGGAAGCUAUGCCACCAGUAUUUCAAAUACUAGCAAGGUCACCCAUGGCGGACAGGUUUCAGAGGUGCAUACAGACUAACAAGAAGGGCCUGGUGAUCUACUUCUGAAAAUUAGCCAAUAAAAACCCUAUGGAUCACAACAGAAUACUGUCCAAUAUAGUGCUGAGAGAUGAGCCCCUAGGUUGGAAGGCACUCAAAAUACACAGUGGCCACAACAAUGGACUCCAGCAUACCAAUGAUCUUGAAAAUGACACAGGGCCAGGCAGUGUUUCAUUCUGUUGUACAUGGGGUUGCCAUGAGUGGGGGCCGACUCAACCACAACUAACAGCAACUGGAUAGCCUACCAUGUGGGGAAAAAGGAUAUAAAGCGUGGGCUGACAGACAAUGGGCUCCAAGGGAGACAACCAGAGAAGAUAGCCUAAGGCUGUCCUUCCCACACAACUGCUUCAGCACUCCCUGUUGAAAAACUGAAGUCCACUUUCUAUGUCCAUGCAAGGUCACAGGCUUAAUCAGCCCUGUUGCAUUUCAAGGUGAGGGAGCCCUAUCAGGUCCAACAACAUCUACCACUCCCUGCCCUGGCUGACUCAUCUAGAGCCUGCCCCGUUCCCUCCUGUUAUUAGUUUCCUGUGGCUGUUGUAACAGAUCACCACAAACUCAGUGACUUAUAACAACAUGGAUUUAUUCUCUUAUACUUCUGGAGGUCAGAAGUCCUAAAAUCAAGGAGUUGGCAGGGCUAUGUUCCUUCUGGAGACUCUAGGGGAGAAUAUGUUUCCUUGACUUUUCCAGCUUCUAGAGGCUGCAUGCAUUCCUUGGCUCAUGGUUGCCUUCUUCCCCCUUCAAAGUCAGCAGCAUAGCAUCUUCCAAUCUGUCUCUCUGAUCUCUGCUUUCGUUGUCACAUCUCCUCUCUGACUCUGACUCUCCUACCUGCCUUUUAUAAGAACCUUGUGAUUAUAUUGGGCCCACUCAGAUAAUCCAAGAUUUUUAGCUAAAUCACAGCCUCAAAGUUCCUUUUGCCAUGUGAGAUAACAUAUUCACAGGUUCCAGGGAUUAAGAUACAGACAUCUUUGGGGGGCCAUUAUUCGGCCUACUACACCUUUUCACCACAACAGCCCAGCCACUGGAGAUAAGAAGCAGGAGAACAUGGCAAAGGAGGUACUGGGUUGCAUUAGACACCAUGGCUCUCUCUAGCAUGUGCUGUGAUAAAAUGAGGUAGACCAGAACAACCUAAAGAUAAAAUUUCCUCAGACAAAUUUGGAGCAGCUCUGAAUUUGCCUUGCCCUGCUCAGCUGACUGGACAGUGAGGUUGGGGUGGGGCAGAGGUUGCCCUUAAACCAGGUCAUAUUACCUCGCUCCACAAAAUGGAUGGCCAACAAGGAAAGUCACCAUUUCCAUGCAUAUGCCCAUUUCCAUCCUGCCCAUCUCCUGCUCCUCAGCCUUGCUCCUGUUUCUAGCUCUGUUUCUAACCUGGAGACUUGCCCGCUGACCUAAGUUUCCAAUCAUUGGCCCCAUUGGUCAUUGAAUCAGGCUCACCUUCUGGCUCUUCCUCCUUCAGUAGAAAUCUAUGUAUCAUCUUUGGUCCCCUAGCUGCCAACCACUAUACCUCAAGGAGGUGGACGUUGCUCAGGGAAAAGGGCCCGGAAAUAUUCCCCACCGUUCUUCCCUUGUUCUCCCUGGCCCCUCACCCACAGCCAUUCUGACCAGAAAUGUGCGAUACACACACAAUAGAAUAUGGGUCACUGUGAGCUCAACUUUGUGAAAAACUGUGAGGUGUUCCCCCCGCCCCGGCCCUACUAUCUCAAAAAAUGUUUAAAAGUUUGGUUCAUUCAGAUAUAAUUUGUCAAGAUCCUAGAAUUUACGGGAAAAUGAUGAUUUGCAGUGAUGAGAUAGGCUAUUUAAAAUUCAGGGCUGCCCCAGAAUUUCCAAAACAUACGAUCGACAUCUGGAAAACAUCUGCACGAAUGGUGUGGCUGCCACAGAUAACAGAGAAUUGGAAAUUUUAAGAAUGAUACUGAGAGUUCCUGGGUCCUAAGAACAUCAGGAUAAAGCAAAAGAAUGCCAAAAACACCCCAGGGCUACCGACAAGGAGGGACCCUGCCCUAGAGCCAAUGCCUGAUUUGGACUUCUAGCCUCCACAACUGUGAGACAAUAAAUUCCUGUUCUUUAAAGCCACCCACUUGUGGUAUUCUUGUUAUGACAACAGUAGGAAACUAGACAAGCAUGAAUGCUAGAGAUUCUUACAUGGCCAAGUAUCAUUUCCCACUAAUGCCGCAUGUCUAUUUCCUUGCUUUUCUUUGUGUUCCAAUUUGUGGCUCCAGAGGUACUGCAUGGUGGCUAAGGAACACUAGGAAACACUAAACAACUCAUAUUACUUCUAAAUGUAUGUAUGUGCAUGAUAUCUAUGUACAUACAUAAACAUAUGUAUGCAGGAAGCACGAUAUUAGUUCUUUACAUUGGAACCCAGAUAAACAUUGAACAUUAAUAAUGCAAAAAUACAUGUAUUUGUAAAAAGGUUUAAUAAUAUUCACUUAAAUCUUCAAAAAGCUAAAUAAAUAAUUUUGACUGUGGCAUCAUGAUUGGAGGAAGAGUGAUUAACAACCUGUGAUAUACAAAUGACACCACCUUGCUUGCUGAAAGUGAAGAGGACUUGAAUCACUUACUGAUGAAGAUCAAAGACUACAGCCUUCAGUAUGGAUUACACCUCAACAUAAAGAAAACAAAAAUCCUCACAACUGGACCAAUAAGCAACAUCAUGAUAAAUGAGGAAGAAAUUGAAGUUGUCGAUGAUUUCAUUCUACUUGGACCAGCAGUUAAUCACCAUGGAAGCAGCAGUCAAGAAAUCAAACAAUGUAUUGCACUGGGCAAACCUGCUGCAAACAGCCACUUGAAAGUUUUAAAAAGCAAAGAUGUCACUUUGAGGACUAAAGUGCGCCUGACCCAAGCCAUAAUCUUUUCAAUUAUCUCAUAUGCAUUUGAAAGAUGGACAAUGAAAAAAGAAGACAGAAGAUUUGAUGCACUGGAAUUGUGGUAUUGGCAAAGAAUGAUGACUAUACUGUGGACUGCCAGAAGAACAAACAAAUCGGUUUUAGAAGAAAUAUAACCAGAAUGUUUCUUACAAGCAAAGAUGGUGAGACUUUGUUUUGCUUAGCUUAGACAUGUCAGCAGGAAAGACCAGUUGCUAGAAAAGGACAUCAUAGUUGGUAAGGUGGAAAGUCAGCAAAGGCAAGAGAGGCCCUCAGUGAGAUAGACUGGCAAAGUGGCCGGAACAAUGGACUGAAACAUAGCAAUGGUCAUGAAGAUGGCUCAGGACUGGGCAACGUUUCCUUCUGUUAUACAUAAGGUCCUCAUGAGUUGGAGCGAACUCCAUUGCAACUAACAACAAUAACAACAAUAUUGGUUCAUUAAUUGUAACAAAUCUACCACACUGAUGCAAGAUGUUAAUAAUAGGAAAACGAGAGUGCAGGUGGGAAAGAGGAUACAUGGAAACGCUCUGCACUACCUGCUCAAAUUUCUGUAAGCCUAAAACUGCUCUAGAAAAUAAGGUCUGUUAGUUUGAACAAACAAGCCAUAAUGAGAAUGAAUAAUAAUCGUGAUCAGCCUCAUUCAUGGAUUCACAGGGUACAAGACAACCAACACCCUCCCUUAGUGAGAUUCCUGUGUUGAUUUUGCAUUAGUAAUCAGGUUCAGCUUCUCCCUUAAAGAAGUAGCAGAGAGGAUUUUAUAAUAAUUCCCUAAGCAUGGGGGUGAGGGUGGGAGUGGGUGGUGCGAUGAGGCACACCCUAAUGAAACAGAAAACUUGAGAGCUGCUUUAGUAGAAUAGAGUUUCAGAGCUGAAAAGGGCAGGCAGGGUGGAGACACAAUUAGUCGAAGAACAAAGUUCAGUCCAAACCUUAUGCUUAUUCCUGGCCAGCUACCAAGUCCCUAGCCUUGGCAUUCUGAACUUUAAUAUUUUAUAAAUUGGUCCCAAACUGAAGAGAGAAGGUCUCUUCCGUUGGGGUCGGAAAAUAGUGUCGCCCAAUUGGGCUGGUGUUAAGAAUUUUAGGAGGAGCAGCCCCUUCUCUGUCCCUCUCUGGUGGUGGGAAAGAAAGAGCGAACUCCUCAAGGAGGGACUCCUUGCUACCUACCUGCAGACUUUAGGUUUGGUUUGGCCUGUCUAGCACUAGCUAUCUCCUGGUUGACAUUUAACUUUAGCCGUGGUGGAACUUUCUAUAAAAGCACUGGUUUCCUCACGUUUGUAGAAGUGGGGGAAAGCUUGCCAAACUUACCCUUGGCAAAGUUCUGGAUUAUUAUUUGCUUCUUGAAUUUGUUUUGAUAUGAACAGGUUCCCACAGGCAGGACCACCCUUAGAUCUCAGCAAGAGGGACCCGUGCCCAGACCCCGCGUUUCAGAGUGUUCCACAUGUAACACACACAAAAACACAUUUAUGAAUAAAGACAUGGGCACCUCUUGUCUCAGGAUCAGCUAUUCAGCAUGAUGCGUGACCCUUAACAUCCGCUUCCAUGACUGACAGUGUUCACUUCUCCACAGGCCUAGGCCUAUGUCCUCCAGACAAAAGGUGACUACGACCAAACGAUGGGAAGAUUUGUGGGUUGUCCUGAGAAAGAUGCCAGAGACAGACAAUGCUACAGCGUUCAAGGAGGUUUUGAGGGACUGAAGUGCUUUGAUAAGAGAAAAGACAACAUUAUGGAACUCCUUCCUCUCAGGUCACAUGAAUAUAAGCGGUUCUCCUAGUGGUUCUGAGUGUCCAUUUUCUUGUUUCUCUUAGAAUUUCAAUUCAUGGUUCUGGAGGUAUUCAUGAAUUAGAGUGAUAUUUGCAAUGUGGCAACUAAGGAAUAUUCAGCAAUAUUAAACAAUUCAUACUACUCCUGAUUUGGUAUAUGUGUAGGCCUGGGGCUAAUAUGUAUGUCAUGUGAUACCAGUUCUUUAUGUUGUUUUACUCUUAGAUAAAUAGUUAAUAACUAAUUACAUUUUCAAAAGUAUAUUUAAAAUGUCAGCUUUAUCUUCAGAAUUUGGUGUUCAUGGAUUAUAUUUGCCAUUUAAUUUUAAAGCAUAUUUUUGAAUAUUUUAGAAGAAAACAUUUUAAAAAAUUUAUUUAAUUUUGUCACUGUUGUUGUUGAGAAUAUACACAGCAGAACAUACACCAAUUCAACAAUUUCUACAUGUACAAUUCAGUGAUACUGAUUACACUCUUUGAGCUGUGCAACCAUUUUCAUCCUCCUUUUCCAAAUUGUUCCUUCCACGUUAACAUAAACUCACUGCCCUGUAAGUUUCCUAUCGAAUCUUUUGCGUUGCUGUUGUCAGUUUGAUCUUAAAAGGGCAUAAUGUUAAAAACAGACUUUUUUUUUUACUAAUGAAGCUAAACUAUUGUUUUGUUUAAAGAAGAUGAAGAAAAAUAUUUUUGAAACGUAUAAAAAAUAAUUAAAGAUUUUGAAUUUUACUAUCUGCUUUAGGAAACCCCAGCGAUAUAGUGGUUAAGUGCUACAGCUGCUAACCAAGAGAUCGGCAGUUCAAAUCCACCAGGCACUCCUGGGAAACUCUGUGGGGCAUUUCCGCUCUGUCCUAUAGGGUCCUGUGAGUCGGAGUCGACUCGACGGCGUUUAACAAAGGCUUACAAAGUGAACAUUCAUCUCAACAACAUCCAGGUCAAGAAAUAGAACAUUGGCCAUACCCUUGAAGCCCCCAGGAGUCCCUCCUGAUCAGGUGUCUCUCCUUCUUCCCUCUAGAAAUAAUCCCUAACCCGACUUUUAGAGUAACAAUUCCUUUGCUUUUCUUUAUAGUAUUACCAUUCAUGUAUGCAUUCUAAAACAAUAUGGUUUCGCUUUGCCUGUGCU